This 240-nucleotide long non-coding RNA is filed under the name Gallus gallus (chicken). RNAcentral's name for it is "long non-coding RNA NONGGAT006659". The record is from RNAcentral. Lineage: Eukaryota; Metazoa; Chordata; Aves; Galliformes; Phasianidae.
CUCCAUCUGAAUGCUGAUGUACUCAGUGGAGCUGAUUUUAGAAGACAAACAUGAAAGACAGUAGUGUUACUCUGUAAACACGUUCUCUGCAGGGAGAAAUACUGGACUUACUGGGAAGGAAUGAUAAGUACGUGUCUCUGGUCAACCACAGCAUCCCUCAGCUAUGUCAGUUCACGGUGUGCAUCGAUCUGAACCGAACGGCCAACAUUAGCUCUUGGGCAGCGUUUUCCUAUGACACCA